RNAcentral lists this small nucleolar RNA (143 nucleotides) under Dipodomys ordii (Ord's kangaroo rat). RNAcentral describes it as "Small nucleolar RNA SNORD22". The stretch from base 1 to 102 matches the Rfam family "Small nucleolar RNA SNORD22". Rfam says of the family: U22 is a member of the C/D class of snoRNA which contain the C (UGAUGA) and D (CUGA) box motifs. The record is from Rfam by way of RNAcentral. Lineage: Eukaryota; Metazoa; Chordata; Mammalia; Rodentia; Heteromyidae.
UCCCAAUGAAGAAGUAUGCACAUGUCUUACUUCCUGUCCUCGCCUCAGAGCCUGUAAAGGUAAAAUGAUGUUUAAUUAGCAUAUGCUAAAUGUACAAGGGUGAUAUUUUCACACAUAUAAAAACUCAUCCCCUGGGCUGGGAA